ACUCCUACGGGAGGCAGCAGUGGGGAAUAUUGCACAAUGGGCGCAAGCCUGAUGCAGCCAUGCCGCGUGUGUGAAGAAGGCCUUCGGGUUGUAAAGCACUUUCAGUCGUGAGGAAGGCGGAGUCGUUAAUAGCGGCCUCGUUUGACGUUAGCGACAGAAGAAGCACCGGCUAACUCCAUGCCAGCAGCCGCGGUAAGUACGGAGGGUGCGAGCGUUAAUCGGAAUUACUGGGCGUAAAGCGCAUGCAGGUGGUUGUUAAGUCAGAUGUGAAAGCCCGGGGCUCAACCUCGGAAUAGCAUUUGAAACUGGCAGACUAGAGUACUGUAGAGGGGGUAGAAUUUCAGGUGUAGCGGUGAAAUGCGUAGAGAUCUGAAGGAAUACCGGUGGCGAAGGCGGCCCCUGGACAGAUACUGACACUCAGAUGCGAAAGCGUGGGAGCAAACAGGAUUAGAGUACCCCUGGUAGCGACUGA
RNAcentral lists this ribosomal RNA (472 nucleotides) under uncultured bacterium. Its description in RNAcentral is "bacterial SSU rRNA". It matches the Rfam family "Bacterial small subunit ribosomal RNA", at positions 335 to 803 of the family's 1533-position model. The record is from RNAcentral.